Molecule: ribosomal RNA, 463 nt
Filed under: uncultured Anaerolineae bacterium
Lineage: Bacteria; Bacillati; Chloroflexota; Anaerolineae
Description: bacterial SSU rRNA
Rfam family: Bacterial small subunit ribosomal RNA
Source: RNAcentral
GAUGAACGCUAGCGGCGUGCCUAAUGCAUGCAAGUCGAACGAGAACCUUCGGAUUCGUCUGAAGGGGGCAGUGGCGGACGGGUGAGUAACACGUUGGUGACCUGCCCUAGAGAGGGGGACAACCAUUGGAAACGAUGGCUAAUACCGCAUAUGUCAAUACGGUUAGAGAGUAUUGACGAAAGGAGAAAUCCACUCUAGGAGGGGCCAGCGUCCCAUCAGCUAGUUGGUAAGGUAACGGCUUACCAAGGCGAAGACGGGUAGGGGGCGUGAGAGCGCGAUCCCCCACACUGGUACUGACACACGGACCAGAUACCUACGGGUAGCAGCAGCAAGGAAUAUUGCACAAUGGGCGAAAGCCUGAUGCAGCAACGCCGCGUGAAGGAUGAAGGCUUUCGGGUUGUAAACUUCUUUUCUGGGAGAAGAGAAAGGACGGUAUCCCAGGAAUAAGGUCCGGCUAACUACG